Molecule: non-coding RNA, 76 nt
Organism: Nephila pilipes (giant wood spider)
Lineage: Eukaryota; Metazoa; Arthropoda; Arachnida; Araneae; Nephilidae
Source: the annotation of a GenBank genome assembly
GCCGCGGUAGCCUAGUGGUCAUGGCUUCGGAUUAGUGGUCCUAUGACCGUAGUUCAAAAUUACGAGGUCCGAGGCA